GUUCCCUGUCCUCGAUCCAUCAGGAAGAUCAAAAAAGGCCUCUGCCCCACCAAGAGAUUUUCUACUGAACUGCAAAGUCCAGGACAGUGAAGCCACAUCCAGAGGUAGGGAGGGCCUGUUUCAGAGACCUUUCAGGUAACAUGGUCAUGUCCCAUGAUCACCAACAUGAUUUGUUUGAUAGGUAAUGAAAUGUUCGGCUAAAACCUUAGACUUGAUUAAUCCCACCAGGGGCAAUCGAUUUACAAUCAGGGAUUACAGGUUUUAUUUGUCACGGUUACCUUAAUGUCAAUGUGUUAAUAAUGCUUUCUGCUCACUGCCAACCAAUCAUCAGUUCAGAAGACUCAUUUCACAUGUUCUUAGGAUGUUAAUAUGUCUGUUAGUCAUAUUAGGAGGGAAUAAUUGAAGCAGCUUAACCUCGCUAUAGAUAUAAAAACAUCCGAUUUGUAAAAAUUAUUUUUACAUCACCAACAAUACAGCAUACACUCAUCCACUCAUCCAUCCAUCCUCACAUUCUUCCCUGACUUGUGAAUGAGACCCUAAGAUACUUGAGCUCCUCCACUUCCAUGAUAGAUGUUAAAUUAACUUAAGUAUUAAACACUCAGGAACACUCGUGCAUUAUUUAAACAGUAAGUAAAGAUCCUCGACUCUUUCUGUGAGCCAUUUUCAAAAUCUGUGAGCUAUUUACAUGUUGUCCUAGGUUCAGUCCGAACAGCUGAACCUUCAGGUCACGCUCACUUCUCUGUGGUUUUAAUCUGAUCUGUUUUGGUUUGUCCAGCUUCAUUCACCUUGUGGACUACGUGUUCAUGAGCACCUUGCCCAGUUUGGUGGUGAACACAGAGACCAGGUUGCUGUCUGAAGUCAGUGAGUGGGCUCAUCGAACCUCUCGCCAAG
Non-coding RNA from Xyrichtys novacula (pearly razorfish), 891 nucleotides. The record is from the annotation of a GenBank genome assembly. Lineage: Eukaryota; Metazoa; Chordata; Actinopteri; Labriformes; Labridae.